Fukomys damarensis (Damara mole-rat) is the source of this 404-nucleotide long non-coding RNA. RefSeq lists it as uncharacterized. NCBI's taxonomy places the organism in Eukaryota, Metazoa, Chordata, Mammalia, Rodentia, Bathyergidae. The record is from RefSeq and is a predicted model, not a curated record. The transcript is spliced from 4 exons.
UUUUGUUGGGAGAAGAGGCAUCAUGGGAAGAAAGCUGUCCUUUGUAGGUGGGAGAAGCCAUCUUUUUAGAAGUUAGCCAUUCUUAUGAACAAGUAAUCUCCCAGACUCCUAUGCAAGCAGCAGGACAUCAGUGACCUACCUGACCCUCCAAAACACUAAAGAAGCGUGCUUCAUUGAUGAAGUAGCUUUGUCUAUCAAGGACACCAAAAGGCAGGUUAUAUAUUGUCAGUUCACAACAGGAAGUAGGUAAGUGAGUUGAAGAGGGAGGAGCACAACUUUGACAACUUCUAGGUCCAGGCUUCACUGUGAGUCACAUGCAGGAACCUGAGACCGUAGGAAAUGGAGCAGCCCUGUGUCUGGAGACAUAAAGUGAAGCAUAUAGAAAGAGAAAGAAAGAAAGAAGA